Molecule: ribosomal RNA, 253 nt
Filed under: uncultured bacterium
Lineage: Bacteria
Description: partial 16S ribosomal RNA
Rfam family: Bacterial small subunit ribosomal RNA
Source: RNAcentral
UACAGAGGGGGCAAGCGUUGUUCGGAAUUACUGGGCGUAAAGGGCGCGUAGGCGGCCUGUUAAGUCGAACGUGAAAUCCCUGGGCUCAACCCAGGAACUGCGUCCGAUACUGGCAGGCUUGAAUCCGGGAGAGGGAUGUGGAAUUCCAGGUGUAGCGGUGAAAUUCGUAGAUAUUCGGAAGAACACCAGUGGCGAAGGCGACAUACUGGUCCGUUACUGACGCUGAGGCUCGAAAGCGUGGGGAGCAAACGGG